UUGCCACCCACCCUUUGUCCGAAUCCGACUAAAGAGUAAAGAAGGGUUGGGUGGGUCGUUAAUGGAACCAAUUGGAGCUCGAAAUCAAUGAGACAACUCACAAGAACAUGUUUCUUUCUCUUAAACGUUUGACGGUUUGUUCCCGCCACAAGAGCGCGCUCUUGAUAUUCAAUGCUCUACACACCACCAGUUUGGAUCCCAUGCUCAAAUCUCCACCACAAGAAUCCAUCCAACUCCUCCUAGACAAAUGCUCAACCACGACAGAACUCAAGCAAAUCCAUGCCCGGAUCAUCCUCGGCGGACUCAGCGAAGAAGCCCUCACUCUUGGCAAGUUAAUUGCUUUCUGUGCUGUUGCCGACUCUGGCGACCUCCGAUAUGGGCAGGCCGUGUUUGAUCAAAUAGCUGAACCCAAUCGGUUCAUGUUUAAUAGUUUGAUAAGAGGCUAUUCAGGUAGUGAUGACCCAUCAGAGGCUAUUUCACUCUACCGCAAAAUGGUUGGUUCCGGCAUUUCUCCGAAUGAAUUCACUCUCCCUUUUGUUCUCAAGGCGUGUGCAUGCGAGUCGGCAUAUUGGGAAGCUGUGCUUGUUCACGGACAGGCAAUUAAACUGGGUAUCGGGUCCCAAGUUUGUAUCCUGAACGCACUUAUCAGUGUUUAUAUUGGUUGUGGGUUGACCUCUGGUGCCCGUAAAGUGUUUGACGAUAUUAGUGACAGAACUUUGGUGUCGUGGAAUUCAAUGAUUGGUGGGUACUCUAAACUGGGUUGUCUGAAGGAAGCAUUUUUGCUCUUUCAAGAAAUGAGACAACUAGGAAUAGAGCCUGAUGGUUUUACGUUUGUAAGUCUCCUUUCUGUUUCUUCACAAACUCGUGAUUUGGAUUUUGGACGAUACGUACACCUGUAUAUUGAGAUUACGGGGACACCAACUGAUAUAUAUGUGCAGAAUGCCCUUGUGGAUAUGUAUGCUAAGUCUGGGGAUCUGCAUACAGCUCAAGAACUUUUUGAUCAAAUACAUAAUAAAAAUGUGGUGACUUGGACGUCAAUGAUCAGUGCAUAUGCUAAUCAUGGGCUGAUUGAAUGUGCUGAGAAGAUCUUUGACCAAAUGCCGAUGAAAAAUCUGGUUUCUUGGAAUUCCAUGAUUUCAUGUUAUGUCCGAGAAGGUCACUGCCGGAAAGCUCAGGAUCUCUUCUACAAAAUGUGUCAUAAAAAGGUAGUUCCUGAUGAAAAUACUCUAAUUAUUUUGCUUUCAGCCUGUUCUCAACUAGGUGAUUUUGUUAUGGGAAAGAAAACUCACAACUAUAUCUGCAGAAACAAUCUGUUACCAAGUGUUUCAUUAUGUAAUGCUCUAAUGGAUAUGUAUGCAAAAUGUGGCGCUAUAGGAAUUGCUUUAGACAUCUUUGAACAGAUGUCAUCAGAAAAGAGCACUGUGUCAUGGAAUGUGAUCGUUGGGGCCCUUGCAUUGCAUGGGUAUGGAUAUAAAGCAAUUGAGGUCUUUGAAAAGAUGCAAGUUGACGGAAUAAGUCCUGAUGGAAUCACCUUCACAGGGUUGCUUUCUGCAUGUAGUCACUGUGGACUUGUAGACAAGGGGCAAUAUUACUUUGACAGUAUGACCCGUAUAUAUGGAGUGCAGCAUGAAAUUGAGCACUAUGCCUGCAUGGUGGAUCUUCUUGGCCGAGUAGGCCUAUUGGAAAAGGCAAUUAAGCUGAUAGGAGGGAUGCCUAUUAAGCCUGAUGUUGUGGUUUGGGGUGCUCUGCUUGGUGCAUGCAGGAUUUGUGGUUAUACUGGAAUUGGAAAGCUAAUUCUAAAACAGCUGUUAGAGCUGCAGCCAUAUAGUGGAGGCCUUUAUGUGCUUCUCUCGAAUAUCUAUUGUGAAGCUCAAAGAUGGGAAGAUGUAGACAAAAUAAGGAAACUAAUGAAAGACCGUGGAAUUGAAAAGUGUAUUGCCAUUAGCUCUAUUGAAAUUGAUGGAUGUAUUCAUGAAUUCAUGGUUGAUGACAAGAGAUAUGAAGGUUCAGAUGGUAUCUUUGUCAUUCUUGAGCAAUUAGCGGAUCAUCUUAAGUUAGUAGGGUGUUUAAGUGCAAUUUUGGAUGAAGAGGAAAUAUAGUACUCAGCCAGGGAAAGGUUUAUCUCUAGGUUUAUCUGUAUCACAACGAUAGUGGGAAUGAAAUAUUGGCAAGCAACCCCAGGUAAACCUUUUCAAUGGAACCAUGUGGGGUUUUAGAAGUGCCAGAUAAGGAUGCGGCAUCAUGGAACGUUAGGAUGUGUGGCAUCAGGAAGUUAAGCAUGAAGAUGCAACCAUUGUUGGCUAUAUGGUCUGGCUUCAUGGACCCAGUUUCAAAAGUCUUGUGCACAGUAUUCGCUAUCCAAUGCCAUUCAAGUUCUAGAUGCAUUGGAUGCUUGCACUGUUGUCGUGUUGGAAGCUGAAAGCAGUACUAAAUGAGCUACAGGAGUUGGUAGCAUCUGCUGGAGCCCUUUCUGUCCAACUAAAUUUAUAUGUGAAACAAAUGGAAGUCUAGUUCAGAAGAGAUUUACAAAUAGAGCCAACAUAGUACUAAAAGAUGUUUCCAGUCCUUUCUCUCAAUGCAGACAUCUAAUUAAGGAAUGGCAUACCCUAGAACAGCUGAGGAAAAAGGAGUAUUGUGUAGUUUCACCACUAAACCUACCUGCUGUUGAGUCAAUGACAUGGAAAUCAGCAGACCAAGACAAUGCACCAUUAGUUAAUGGCCUUGCAAGAAGCAGAGUUCCGUAAUUCAUCACAUUGUAGCUACUUCUGUAAGGGCUGCAAUGGGGAUACCUUCUGUGAAAGCUACAUUGAAAAGGAUAAAUUGCAUCAAGGCCACCAAAUACCAAAUGCCAAAUUCCCUCCUCCCAUUAGAAACCUCUACUUUCUCCUCAUUUCAUUAUUCUUUAUUUUUUCCAGCUAGUAAUCAUUAUUAGUGUUAAAAACUAAUCCCAAUUUGGUAGUUUUUUAGUAGAUCCAAGAUAAGAUGAGUUCGGAAAAGAAGGGAAACUCCGUACGUUCCCCUCGCUAUUAGAUUAUCUGUGUUCAUAUUCUUUACCUUAGCCAAGCUCUGAGAAGAAUAAGACCAAAUAUCUUGUCUGCAAAAUUUUUGUUCACAAGUGGAGACCAUAUUGUUCUUGAAUACCAAUUUAUAUGCAAGUGGAAACCAUUGUAAUAUUGAGCAGAAUUUGAAUGAGAUUCUCAUUGAACCGUAUUAUCCCUACAUCCCAAGUGAUUUGCCUGUACAUGAUAUUGUUUUGCCGGUUGGUGCUGGGCUAUGUUUGCUUUGCUGUAUAUGCUUAUAUCAAAAUCUAUCCAACCAAACAGAGAAACUUCCCUGGAAAAAUGGUGGUGGUUCAGAUUUUCCAACAACUCUCUGAAUCUAACGAUUAAGUGCAG
RNA transcript from Diospyros lotus (date-plum), 3395 nucleotides. It is a transcript of the gene named pentatricopeptide repeat-containing protein At3g29230-like, with no coding region annotated. The transcript is spliced from 2 exons. The record is from RefSeq and is a predicted model, not a curated record. NCBI's taxonomy places the organism in Eukaryota, Viridiplantae, Streptophyta, Magnoliopsida, Ericales, Ebenaceae.